This 201-nucleotide ribosomal RNA is filed under the name uncultured bacterium. RNAcentral describes it as "partial 16S ribosomal RNA". It matches the Rfam family "Bacterial small subunit ribosomal RNA", at positions 26 to 207 of the family's 1533-position model. The record is from RNAcentral.
AGAACGAACGCUGGCGGCGUGGAUUAGGCAUGCAAGUCGAACGUGAAAGCACCCGACGUAGCAAUACGAAGGUGCAAGUAAAGUGGCGAACGGGUGAGUAACGCGUGGGAAACCCUGCUCCGAGAGGUAGGGGGAUAACAGUUCUAACGGACUGCUAAGUACCGCGAUGAUGCUACGGGUCGAUGACUUCGUAGUUGAAGG